GCCGGGCGUGGUGGUGCACACCUGUGGUCCCAGCUACUCAGGAGGCUGAGGCAGGAGAAUCGCUUGAACCCAGGAGGCGGAGGUUGCAGUGAGCCGAGAUCACCACUGCACUCCAGCCUGGGUGACAGAGCGAGACUCUGUCUCCA
Molecule: unclassified non-coding RNA, 146 nt
Organism: Macaca fascicularis (crab-eating macaque)
Lineage: Eukaryota; Metazoa; Chordata; Mammalia; Primates; Cercopithecidae
Rfam family: Metazoan signal recognition particle RNA
About the family: The signal recognition particle (SRP) is a universally conserved ribonucleoprotein. It is involved in the co-translational targeting of proteins to membranes.
Source: Ensembl